RNAcentral lists this ribosomal RNA (2353 nucleotides) under Salmonella enterica. RNAcentral describes it as "partial 23S ribosomal RNA". It matches the Rfam family "Bacterial large subunit ribosomal RNA", at positions 593 to 2925 of the family's 2925-position model. Lineage: Bacteria; Pseudomonadati; Pseudomonadota; Gammaproteobacteria; Enterobacterales; Enterobacteriaceae. RNAcentral also lists the same sequence under 2 other names. The record is from RNAcentral.
GUGACUGCGUACCUUUUGUAUAAUGGGUCAGCGACUUAUAUUCUGUAGCAAGGUUAACCGAAUAGGGGAGCCGGAGGGAAACCGAGUCUUAAUUGGGCGUUAAGUUGCAGGGUAUAGACCCGAAACCCGGUGAUCUAGCCAUGGGCAGGUUGAAGGUUGGGUAACACUAACUGGAGGACCGAACCGACUAAUGUUGAAAAAUUAGCGGAUGACCUGUGGCUGGGGGUGAAAGGCCAAUCAAACCGGGAGAUAGCUGGUUCUCCCCGAAAGCUAUUUAGGUAGCGCCUCGUGAAUUCAUCUCCGGGGGUAGAGCACUGUUUCGGCUAGGGGGCCAUCCCGGCUUACCAACCCGAUGCAAACUGCGAAUACCGGAGAAUGUUAUCACGGGAGACACACGGCGGGUGCUAACGUCCGUCGUGAAGAGGGAAACAACCCAGACCGCCAGCUAAGGUCCCAAAGUCAUGGUUAAGUGGGAAACGAUGUGGGAAGGCCCAGACAGCCAGGAUGUUGGCUUAGAAGCAGCCAUCAUUUAAAGAAAGCGUAAUAGCUCACUGGUCGAGUCGGCCUGCGCGGAAGAUGUAACGGGGCUAAACCAUGCACCGAAGCUGCGGCAGCGACACUGUGUGUUGUUGGGUAGGGGAGCGUUCUGUAAGCCUGCGAAGGUGGCCUGUGAGGGUUGCUGGAGGUAUCAGAAGUGCGAAUGCUGACAUAAGUAACGAUAAAGCGGGUGAAAAGCCCGCUCGCCGGAAGACCAAGGGUUCCUGUCCAACGUUAAUCGGGGCAGGGUGAGUCGACCCCUAAGGCGAGGCCGAAAGGCGUAGUCGAUGGGAAACGGGUUAAUAUUCCCGUACUUGGUGUUACUGCGAAGGGGGGACGGAGAAGGCUAUGUUGGCCGGGCGACGGUUGUCCCGGUUUAAGCGUGUAGGUGUGUGUUCCAGGUAAAUCCGGUUCACUUUAACACUGAGGCGUGACGACGAGGCACUACGGUGCUGAAGCAACAAAUGCCCUGCUUCCAGGAAAAGCCUCUAAGCAUCAGGUAACAUCAAAUCGUACCCCAAACCGACACAGGUGGUCAGGUAGAGAAUACCAAGGCGCUUGAGAGAACUCGGGUGAAGGAACUAGGCAAAAUGGUGCCGUAACUUCGGGAGAAGGCACGCUGACACGUAGGUGAAGUGAUUUACUCAUGGAGCUGAAGUCAGUCGAAGAUACCAGCUGGCUGCAACUGUUUAUUAAAAACACAGCACUGUGCAAACACGAAAGUGGACGUAUACGGUGUGACGCCUGCCCGGUGCCGGAAGGUUAAUUGAUGGGGUCAGCGCAAGCGAAGCUCCUGAUCGAAGCCCCGGUAAACGGCGGCCGUAACUAUAACGGUCCUAAGGUAGCGAAAUUCCUUGUCGGGUAAGUUCCGACCUGCACGAAUGGCGUAAUGAUGGCCAGGCUGUCUCCACCCGAGACUCAGUGAAAUUGAACUCGCUGUGAAGAUGCAGUGUACCCGCGGCAAGACGGAAAGACCCCGUGAACCUUUACUAUAGCUUGACACUGAACAUUGAGCCUUGAUGUGUAGGAUAGGUGGGAGGCUUUGAAGUGUGGACGCCAGUCUGCAUGGAGCCGACCUUGAAAUACCACCCUUUAAUGUUUGAUGUUCUAACGUGGACCCGUUACCCGGGUUGCGGACAGUGUCUGGUGGGUAGUUUGACUGGGGCGGUCUCCUCCUAAAGAGUAACGGAGGAGCACGAAGGUUGGCUAAUCCUGGUCGGACAUCAGGAGGUUAGUGCAAUGGCAUAAGCCAGCUUGACUGCGAGCGUGACGGCGCGAGCAGGUGCGAAAGCAGGUCAUAGUGAUCCGGUGGUUCUGAAUGGAAGGGCCAUCGCUCAACGGAUAAAAGGUACUCCGGGGAUAACAGGCUGAUACCGCCCAAGAGUUCAUAUCGACGGCGGUGUUUGGCACCUCGAUGUCGGCUCAUCACAUCCUGGGGCUGAAGUAGGUCCCAAGGGUAUGGCUGUUCGCCAUUUAAAGUGGUACGCGAGCUGGGUUUAGAACGUCGUGAGACAGUUCGGUCCCUAUCUGCCGUGGGCGCUGGAGAACUGAGGGGGGCUGCUCCUAGUACGAGAGGACCGGAGUGGACGCAUCACUGGUGUUCGGGUUGUCAUGCCAAUGGCACUGCCCGGUAGCUAAAUGCGGAAGAGAUAAGUGCUGAAAGCAUCUAAGCACGAAACUUGCCCCGAGAUGAGUUCUCCCUGAGACUUAAAGUCUCCUGAAGGAACGUUGAAGACGACGACGUUGAUAGGCCGGGUGUGUAAGCGCAGCGAUGCGUUGAGCUAACCGGUACUAAUGAACCGUGAGGCUUAACCUU